This 301-nucleotide ribosomal RNA is filed under the name uncultured bacterium. Its description in RNAcentral is "partial 16S ribosomal RNA". It matches the Rfam family "Bacterial small subunit ribosomal RNA", at positions 509 to 809 of the family's 1533-position model. The record is from RNAcentral.
CAGUAGCCGCGGGAAUACGGAGGGUGCAAGCGUUGUCCGGAUUUAUUGGGUUUAAAGGGUGCGUAGGCGGCUAUUUAAGUCAGCGGUGAAAGACUCCGACUCAACCGGAGCAGUGCCAUUGAUACUGGAUAGCUUGAGUGUUGGAGGGGUACAUGGAAUUGAUGGUGUAGCGGUGAAAUACAUAGAUACCAUCAGGAACACCGAUAGCGAGGGCAUUGUACUGGCCAACAACUGACGCUGAGGCACGAAAGCAUGGGGAGCGAACAGGAUUAGAUACCCCAGUAGUCCCUGUCUCUUAUAU